Molecule: ribosomal RNA, 506 nt
Filed under: uncultured bacterium
Lineage: Bacteria
Description: partial 16S ribosomal RNA
Source: RNAcentral
GGAGUUAGCCGGUGCUUCUUCUGUGAGUGAUGUCCUUCCUGCCGGCUAUUAACCCGCAGGCCUUCUUCCUCACUGAAAGUGCUUUACAACCCGAAGGCCUUCUUCACACACGCGGCAUGGCUGGAUCAGGGUUGCCCCCAUUGUCCAAUAUUCCCCACUGCUGCCUCCCGUAGGAGUCUGGGCCGUGUCUCAGUCCCAGUGUGGCUGAUCAUCCUCUCAGACCAGCUACGGAUCGUCGCCUUGGUGAGCCGUUACCUCACCAACCAGCUAAUCCGACAUAGGCUCAUCCGAUAGCGCGAGGCCCGAAGGUCCCCCGCUUUCCCCCGUAGGGCGUAUGCGGUAUUAGCCUGGGUUUCCCCAGGUUAUCCCCCACUACCGGGCAGAUUCCUAUGCAUUACUCACCCGUCCGCCGCUCGCCACCAGGGAGCAAGCUCCCCGUGCUGCCGCUCGACUUGCAUGUGUUAGGCUCGCCGCCACGCGUCAUCUGAGCGAGAUACAACUACUGA